GUGGGAGAAUGUCUGCAGCAAGGCACUUGAGGAAGGGAGCCAUGACCCUUGACAAGCAAGUCGCAGUUUCCGUGUCUGAAAAAUGGUAUAAAAUGUGGAAAAGUCCUCAAGGGACAGGGUGGACUGCCUGGGAUCCUGGUGGCAGGGAGCAAGACUUCUCAGUGUCCAUGCAGGAGAAAGACCCCCCCCUCCAAGAAAAAAUGAGAUGAUCUGGUCACCCAUUGCACUAUGACCCCACUGGCUGAACUGAGGAGACCAUUCCCCCCAAUAGGCUGAUGCGGCCUCCUCCUCC
Pongo pygmaeus (Bornean orangutan) is the source of this 292-nucleotide long non-coding RNA. RefSeq lists it as uncharacterized. The transcript has 4 exons. NCBI's taxonomy places the organism in Eukaryota, Metazoa, Chordata, Mammalia, Primates, Hominidae. The record is from RefSeq and is a predicted model, not a curated record.